RNAcentral lists this unclassified non-coding RNA (212 nucleotides) under soil metagenome. Its description in RNAcentral is "partial contains 5.8S ribosomal RNA, internal transcribed spacer 2, and large subunit ribosomal RNA". The record is from RNAcentral.
AACACUGUUAACCUGCGGUACCUGCGGAAGGAUCAUUACAGAGUUAUCCAACUCCCAAACCCAUGUGAACUUAUCUCUUUGUUGCCUCGGCGCAAGCUACCCGGGACCCCGCGCCCCGGGCGGCCCGCCGGCGGACAAACCAAAACUCUUGUUAUCUUAGUUGAUUCUCUGAGCGUCUUAUUUAAUAAGUCAAAACUUUCAACAACGGAUCU